This 253-nucleotide ribosomal RNA is filed under the name uncultured bacterium. Its description in RNAcentral is "partial 16S ribosomal RNA". It matches the Rfam family "Bacterial small subunit ribosomal RNA", at positions 524 to 776 of the family's 1533-position model. The record is from RNAcentral.
UACGUAGGGGCCUAGCGUUGUCCGGAAUUAUUGGGCGUAAAGGGUGCGUAGGCGGCGCGGUAAGUCGGGUGUGAAAUCUCGGAGCUUAACUCCGAAACUGCAUUCGAUACUGCCGUGCUUGAGGACUGGAGAGGAGACUGGAAUUUACGGUGUAGCGGUGAAAUGCGUAGAUAUCGUAAGGAAGACCAGUGGCGAAGGCGGGUCUCUGGACAGUUCCUGACGCUGAGGCACGAAGGUCAGGGGAGCAAACGGG